RNAcentral lists this transfer RNA (90 nucleotides) under Alphaproteobacteria bacterium PA4. RNAcentral's name for it is "tRNA-Ser". It matches the Rfam family "tRNA". From Rfam's summary of the family: Transfer RNA (tRNA) molecules are approximately 80 nucleotides in length. Their secondary structure includes four short double-helical elements and three loops (D, anti-codon, and T loops). The record is from RNAcentral. Lineage: Bacteria; Pseudomonadati; Pseudomonadota; Alphaproteobacteria.
GGAAGGGUGGCCGAGUGGUUUAAGGCAACGGUCUUGAAAACCGUCGUGGGGGGAACCUCACCGUGGGUUCGAAUCCCACCCCUUCCGCCA